RNAcentral lists this long non-coding RNA (192 nucleotides) under Sinocyclocheilus anshuiensis. Its description in RNAcentral is "lncRNA (ENSSANG00000013619.1)". Lineage: Eukaryota; Metazoa; Chordata; Actinopteri; Cypriniformes; Cyprinidae. The record is from RNAcentral.
CUCCACUACAGAGCUUGUUGAUGCUCUUCACUCUUUGAUACAUGUGGGCGGAUAAAAGGGUUCCUCUGUAUCAGUGAAGAAGAAACCAGCAAUGGAGUGUCUCAGGGAAACCCGAACUAAUUACCCCACUCAACUUUGGAGCAGGUGUAUAAGCAUAUUCUGCCACCUGGAGUUCACAAGUUACUGUUCGGG